This 290-nucleotide ribosomal RNA is filed under the name uncultured bacterium. Its description in RNAcentral is "partial 16S ribosomal RNA". It matches the Rfam family "Bacterial small subunit ribosomal RNA", at positions 773 to 1060 of the family's 1533-position model. The record is from RNAcentral.
GUGGAUUAGAUACCCUAGUAGUCCUAGCCGUAAACGAUGGGCACUUGGUGUCGGGGGUAUUGAGUCCCUCGGUGCCGGAGUUAACACGUUAAGUGCCCCGCCUGGGGAGUACGGUCGCAAGACUGAAACUCAAAGGAAUUGACGGGGGCCCGCACAAGCGGUGGAGCAUGUGGUUCAAUUCGACGCAACGCGAAGAACCUUACCGGGGCUCGAACGGUAACUGCAAUCCCUUGAAAGAGGGAGUUCUCUUCGGAGACGGUUAUCGAGGUGCUGCAUGGCUGUCGACAGCU